GCGGGCGUGGUGUAGUUGGUAACACUGGAGCCUUCCAAGCUCCCAUCGCCGGUUCGAUCCCGGUCGCCCGCU
This 72-nucleotide transfer RNA is filed under the name Actinomycetota bacterium. RNAcentral's name for it is "tRNA-Gly". It matches the Rfam family "tRNA". From Rfam's summary of the family: Transfer RNA (tRNA) molecules are approximately 80 nucleotides in length. Their secondary structure includes four short double-helical elements and three loops (D, anti-codon, and T loops). RNAcentral also lists the same sequence under 1 other name. The record is from RNAcentral. Lineage: Bacteria; Bacillati; Actinomycetota.